RNAcentral lists this unclassified non-coding RNA (381 nucleotides) under uncultured Actinomycetes bacterium. Its description in RNAcentral is "uncultured actinobacterium contains 16S-23S intergenic spacer region". The record is from RNAcentral. Lineage: Bacteria; Bacillati; Actinomycetota; Actinomycetes.
UCCGGUUUGUCACCGGCAGUCUCGCAUGAGUCCCCAACUAAAUGCUGGCAACAUGCGACAGGGGUUGCGCUCGUUGCGGGACUUAACCCAACAUGUCACCACACGAGCUGACGACAGCCAUGCAGCACCUGUCUCUCUGCUGUAUUGCUACAGAGACUCUAUUUCUAGAGCUGUCAGAGGAUGUCAAACCCAGGUAAGGUUCUUCGCGUUGCAUCGAAUUAAGCCACAUGCUCCGCCGCUUGUGCGGGUCCCCGUCAAUUCCUUUGAGUUUUAGCCUUGCGGCCGUACUCCCCAGGCGGAGUGCUUAAUGCGUUAGCUGCGGCACGGAGAGGGUUGAAGACCUCCCCACACCUAGCACUCAACGUUUACGGCUGGGACUAC